RNAcentral lists this transfer RNA (71 nucleotides) under Bremerella sp. P1. RNAcentral's name for it is "tRNA-His". It matches the Rfam family "tRNA". From Rfam's summary of the family: Transfer RNA (tRNA) molecules are approximately 80 nucleotides in length. The record is from RNAcentral. Lineage: Bacteria; Pseudomonadati; Planctomycetota; Planctomycetia; Pirellulales; Pirellulaceae.
UCGGAUAGCUCAAAGGUAGAGCACCAGUCUGUGAAACUGGCUGUUACAGGUUCGAUUCCUGUUCCGAUCCA